This is an RNA transcript of Sarcophilus harrisii (Tasmanian devil), 4342 nucleotides long. It is a transcript of the gene named adaptor related protein complex 3 subunit beta 1, with no coding region annotated. The record is from RefSeq and is a predicted model, not a curated record. The transcript has 27 exons. NCBI's taxonomy places the organism in Eukaryota, Metazoa, Chordata, Mammalia, Dasyuromorphia, Dasyuridae.
AAUUUUGACUGCAUUUGCACACUGAAAGGAGUGGGUAUCCUGUGGAAAUCUUAGAAUUUAAUAACCUUUUAUAAUUAAAUUUCUAAUGAAACAAUCAUUUGGCUUCUCCUGAUUCAAAAUAAUGGAAGAAGAAUUUUCAUUCCUGGAUCAUUUUAGUGCAGUAUCUUCUACAGUUAAAUCUGUUUUGGGAUUAGCAGAGAGCCUGCAAGUUACACUGAAAUCUGAGCCUACUGUUGAAGAGAAAGGGCUCAUAGAUGCUGUUAUUGAACCACUUGAAUAUACUUUUAUUAUUAGAAAUGAAGAUCUAAAACAAAUGCUGGAAAGCAACAAAGAUUCUGCCAAACUGGAUGCUAUGAAACGAAUAGUUGGGAUGAUUGCAAAGGGGAAAAAUGCAUCUGAACUCUUUCCUGCUGUUGUGAAAAAUGUGGCCAGUAAAAAUAUUGAGAUCAAAAAGUUGGUCUAUGUUUAUCUGGUCCGAUAUGCUGAGGAGCAACAAGAUCUGGCUCUCUUGUCCAUCAGCACUUUUCAACGAGCUCUAAAAGAUCCUAAUCAAUUAAUUCGUGCAAGUGCUUUGAGAGUCCUUUCCAGUAUCAGAGUACCAAUCAUUGUUCCUAUCAUGAUGCUUGCUAUUAAGGAAGCUUCUGCUGAUUUAUCGCCAUAUGUUAGAAAGAAUGCUGCCCAUGCAAUACAAAAAUUGUACAGCCUUGAUCCAGAGCAAAAAGAAAUGUUAAUUGAAGUAAUUGAAAAACUUCUGAAAGAUAAAAGCACACUGGUAGCUGGGAGUGUUGUGAUGGCUUUUGAAGAAGUGUGCCCUGAUAGAAUAGAUCUCAUUCACAGAAACUACCGCAAGCUGUGUAAUUUGCUAGUUGAUGUUGAAGAGUGGGGGCAGGUUGUCAUAAUCCACAUGCUUACCCGAUAUGCACGUACACAGUUUGUGAGUCCUUGGAAAGAGGAUGACAACCUAGAAGAGAACAGUGAAAAGAAUUUCUAUGAAUCUGAUGAAGAGCAAAAAGACAAAACUGAUAAAAGUAAGGUACCUUAUGCUAUGGAUCCAGACCAUCGACUGCUCAUUAGAAAUACAAAGCCUUUGCUACAGAGUAGGAAUGCUGCGGUCGUGAUGGCAGUUGCUCAACUGUAUUGGCACUUAUCACCAAAAUCUGAAGCUGGUAUUAUUUCUAAAUCAUUAGUACGUUUACUUCGUAGUAAUAGGGAGGUGCAGUAUAUUGUUCUACAGAAUAUAGCAACUAUGUCAAUUCAGAGAAAGGGUAUGUUUGAACCUUUUUUGAAGAGUUUUUAUGUUAGAUCAACUGAUCCAACUAUGAUCAAGACACUGAAGCUUGAAAUAUUGACAAAUUUGGCAAAUGAAGCCAAUAUAUCAACGCUCCUUCGAGAAUUUCAGACCUAUGUAAAAAGUCAAGAUAAACAGUUUGCUGCAGCGACCAUCCAGGCUAUAGGCAGAUGUGCAACCAACAUCUCAGAAGUAACUGAUACCUGCCUUAAUGGCUUGGUAUGUUUGCUGUCCAACAGAGAUGAAAUAGUAGUUGCGGAAAGUGUGGUGGUCAUUAAGAAAUUACUACAAAUGCAACCAGCACAGCAUGGUGAGAUUAUCAAACAUAUGGCCAAGCUCUUGGACAGUAUUACUGUUCCUGUGGCUAGAGCAAGUAUUCUUUGGCUGCUAGGGGAAAAUUGUGAACGUGUUCCUAAAAUUGCUCCUGAUGUCUUGAGAAAGAUGGCUAAAAGCUUCACUAGUGAGGAUGAUCUUGUAAAGCUACAGAUUUUAAAUCUAGGAGCCAAAUUGUAUUUAACAAACUCAAAGCAGACAAAAUUGCUUACCCAAUACAUAUUAAAUCUCGGCAAGUAUGACCAAAACUACGACAUCAGAGACCGUACAAGAUUUAUUAGGCAGCUUAUUGUUCCGAAUGAGAAGAGCGGAGCCUUAAGCAAAUAUGCCAAAAAAAUAUUUUUGGCACAAAAGCCUGCCCCAUUGCUUGAAUCUCCUUUUAAAGAAAGGGAUCAUUUCCAGCUUGGGACCUUAUCCCACACUCUGAACAUUAAAGCUUCUGGGUACCUGGAGUUAUCUAAUUGGCCAGAGGUGGCGCCUGACCCAUCAGUCAGAAAUGUUGAAGUGAUUGAAUCAGUAAAGGAAUGGACAUCAAUAUCUGGAAAAGCAAAGAAAGUGAAAGCUGAUGAAAAGUUUUAUUCAGAAUCUGAAGAGGAUGCAUCUGACAGCAACAGUGACAGUGAGAGUGAAUCUGAAAGUGAAAGUGAAGAUGAAGAAAAAGAAGAAGGCAGUAGUGAGGAAAGUGAUGAAUAUUCCUCAGAUGAGAGUGACAGUGAAUCAGAUUUAGACAACAAAAAUCAAGUGGCCAAGCACAAGUCUGCAGUUACAGAAGAAAGUGAUUCUGAUGCUGAUGAAAAGACAAAUGCCAAAUUGAAAUCAUCUGAUUCUUCCGAUUCUGAUUCUAGUUCAAUAGAGGAAAGCUCUUCAGAGUCUGAAUCAGACACAGAAAGUGAAUAUGAAUCAAGAAAACCCAGUAAGAAAGAAGAGAAGAAAACUUGGCCAGAAAGACAACCUAAUAAAAAAGAUGUUUCUCUUCUAGAUCUAGAUGAUUUUAACCCAGUAUCCACACCAGUAGCAGUUCUCACACCAGCUAUUUCUCCAGCCUUAAUAGCUGAUCUGGAGGGUUUAAACUUGUCAGCUUCUUCCCCUGUCAUCAAUGUCAGUACUCCAGUCUUUGUGCCAAUGAAGACUCAUGAGCUGCUUCAUCGAAUGAGUGGCAAAGGAUUAGCUGCCAGUUAUCACUUUCCAAGACAGCCUUGCAUUUUUGGUGAUCAAAUGGUCUCAGUACAAGUGACAUUAAAUAAUACCACUGAUCAGAAGAUUGAAAAUAUCCAUCUCUCUGAUAAAAAACUACCUUCAGGCAUGAGGAUGCAUGUGUUUAGUCCAAUAGAAUCUCUUGAGCCUGGGGGAUCCAUUACUGUUGCAAUGGGUAUUGACUUUUGUGAUUCCACUCAGACUGCCUGUUUCCAGUUGUGUACAAAGGAUGAUUGCUUCAGUGUUAAUAUCCAGCCACCUGUUGGAGAGCUUCUUUUACCUGUGGCCAUGUCAGAGAAAGAUUUUAGGAGAGAGCAAGGACAUUAAGGUUCUUUACCCUUCAAAACUUAUUCCUGGCUCCAAUAUACAAACUCCUUCAUUGCCUUCUGGAAUAAUUCUGUUCAGAAGAAAUGCUGUAUUUUAGAAAUGUAUCUGAACCAACACAUUUGUAAAUAACCACUUAUAAAUGUAAAAUAGUUUCGUAUAGUUCAUGUCUCUGGUGCUCAUCUCAAACGCAACUGCUAAUUGGACUGAGCCUUUCCUCAUAUGAAUAAUGGGAAAUAGCUUUAGGUGUCCUUAGAGGACACACUGAUUAUGCAGCAUGACAAAGUGGAUAGACCUGAGUCAAGACUGCAUGGGUUCAGGUCCUGCCUCUGACACACACCAUGUGACCUGGGCAAAACUCUUGACCUCUCGGUUUUCCCGGCAACUUUCUAAGGCUCUGAGCUGUGUACAGCAGGUGCCGACCAGCAUUGGUCAAGGAAGUCUUUUCAAUGGAAGCUGCCUAAAUUAAUGAAUCACAGAUCUGGACCUCCAGUUUCCUCCAUCUACCAAAAAAAAAUAUUAUAAAAUUCUACAUACUUGGGAAAUAUUUAAAUGCUACACAAUGUCUUUGUUUUUCUACAUUUUCCAAUAUCAUUAGAAAACUGACAACUAAAAACCUCAUGGUGUCAAUGCCAUCAAGUAAUAUCAGCCAGGUUCUCAGAUUGUGCAAGAUGUGGAAUAGAACAUACAGAAUUAUGGUCCCCAUAUUAGAGAAGGGAAAAUAUACUUACUUGUAUUCCUCAUUGUAGUAAAGCAGAUAUUUGGAUGUGCUUCCUUGCCUUCUGCCCUGUCAUGGGGAUGAAAUAAUGUGUAUUUAUAAAGAAAAGAAGGACAAGAGAGCAAUCCUAUGUCCAGCUAUAAAAUGUAUAGUUAUGUAGAGGGGAUUAUAUUUAUUCUUGUGGUUUGUUUACUUUGAAAUCUUUUCAGCUAGAAUAGAAUAACACUUCAUCUCUGCAUUGGUUUUUCUUGGAAGUUGAUCAUUGCCAUAGAAAAAAAAUUAGCUUUGUGUGAUUUUUUUUUUCCUGUUGAUAAAUUGAAUUGAUUCUUAUAUUUGCUGUUCUUACCCUUUGCUGGCUAAAGCCUGCCUCACUGCUUUACACCUGCCCAGCAAACCAAGGAAUGCUGACAGGAAUGAAUGAAACAUCAGCUAUAAUCAUUGCUUCACCACAGAAUUCUACUCCCCCUGUGAUACUUCAGAAGAUU